Molecule: ribosomal RNA, 380 nt
Filed under: uncultured bacterium
Lineage: Bacteria
Description: bacterial SSU rRNA
Rfam family: Bacterial small subunit ribosomal RNA
Source: RNAcentral
AUUGAACGCUGGCGGCAUGCCUUACACAUGCAAGUCGAACGGCAGCACGGGAGCAAUCCUGGUGGCGAGUGGCGAACGGGUGAGUAAUAUAUCGGAACGUGCCCAGUCGUGGGGAUAACGUAGCGAAAGCUACGCUAAUACCGCAUACGAUCUAUGGAUGAAAGCGGGGGAUCGCAAGACCUCGCGCGAUUGGAGCGGCCGAUAUCAGAUUAGGUAGUUGGUGAGGUAAAGGCUCACCAAGCCGACGAUCUGUAGCUGGUCUGAGAGGACGACCAGCCACACUGGGACUGAGACACGGUCCAGACUCCUACGGGAGGCAGCAGUGGGGAAUUUUUGGACAAUGGGCGCAAGCCUGAUCCAGCAAUGCCGCGUGCAGGAUG